Long non-coding RNA from Carassius gibelio (silver crucian carp), 1045 nucleotides. RefSeq lists it as uncharacterized. The transcript has 4 exons. The record is from RefSeq and is a predicted model, not a curated record. Lineage: Eukaryota; Metazoa; Chordata; Actinopteri; Cypriniformes; Cyprinidae.
CCAGUCACUAAUUCUAUGAAAAAAAAUAUAUUCUUAGCAUGUAAAAUUAGCAUGAAAAUUAGCAUGUAAUACAUUUAUUUCCAAUGCAUGUUAUAUUUUCUCCUACGUAUAUUUACUUAGUAGCAUUUUGUGUUUGCAGGUCAUGUACUUAAAAGCAGCAACUAACAACCGGGCAUCGACAGCAUACCACUUCUUCUCAGAAGCAGUCCAGACAUUUGGCUUACCAUCUAGGGUCAGGGGAGACCAAGGAGUGGAGAAUGUACAGAUAGCCAGGUUCAUGUUUUCUUCAAGAGGCACGGACCGAGGAAGUUUCAUAUCCGGGAAAAGUGUCCAUAAUCAAAGGAUUGAGCGCCUCUGGCGUGAUGUUAGAACCAUGGUGACUAACAAGUACUCGGACACACUGCACUCCCUAGAGGCAGAAGGAUUGCUGGACUUAUCAGUGGUCGAGGACCUUUUCAGUGUGCACUACACUUUUCUCCAAAGACUUCAGGCAGACUUGGACACAUUUUCCGAAGCCUGAAAUCAUCAUCCACUCUCCUCAGAGGGCAAUCGAAGUCCAGAGCAACUGUGGCAGAUUGGAAUGAUGCACAUAAAUAUUGACCCAUCGGAGAGAUACGAGGACAUGGAAGAGCCAGAUCUAGACUGGGCGAAGCAGCUUCUUAUGAUGCCUGUGAAGAUUUCUGAGUUGUUGUUCCUGAAUUUGAAAGCCCUUUGUGUUCAGAUGGGUUGAGGGCUCUCGAACACCUGCUUAAUUCCACUGGUCCCAAUAUCCCUGUUAAAGAACUGUAUUUGCUUUGUCGGGAGUUUGUUUCAACAAAUAUGGUGUAAUAAUUUAACAAAACACACCAAUCAAGCAUAAAGACAGUACUGCAGCUAACAGCUUUAUUUUGCAUUGAAGCCUACUGUAUAUUGUUAUACAUUUUCAUUUCCAAAUUGAGUUUUGGAACGAUACAGCAGCAAUCUUUGCUGCAUUUUUUUGCAAUGCAUGUCAAUGAUAAACAAAACUAAAUAAUAAUAAAAAAAAGCUGCAUUUAAAUAUGUAAAA